GAUGAACGCUGGCGGCGUGCCUAAUACAUGCCAGUCGAGCGAACAGACGAGGAGCUUGCUCCUCUGACGUUAGCGGCGGACGGGUGAGUAACACGUGGAUAACCUACCUAUAAGACUGGGAUAACUUCGGGAAACCGGAGCUAAUACCGGAUAAUAUAUUGAACCGCAUGGUUCAAUAGUGAAAGACGGUUUUGCUGUCACUUAUAGAUGGAUCCGCGCCGCAUUAGCUAGUUGGUAAGGUAACGGCUUACCAAGGCAACGAUGCGUAGCCGACCUGAGAGGGUGAUCGGCCACACUGGAACUGAGACACGGUCCAGACUCCUACGGGAGGCAGCAGUAGGGAAUCUUCCGCAAUGGGCGAAAGCUUGACGGAGCAACGCCGCGUGAGUGAUGAAGGUCUUCGGAUCGUAAAACUCCGUUAUUAGGGAAGAACAAAUGUGUAAGUAACUAUGCACGUCUUGACGGUACCUAAUCAGAAAGCCACGGCUAACUACGUG
Molecule: ribosomal RNA, 497 nt
Filed under: uncultured bacterium
Lineage: Bacteria
Description: partial 16S ribosomal RNA
Rfam family: Bacterial small subunit ribosomal RNA
Source: RNAcentral